AUGAUUCACAAUCCAUCUCAUUGCUCAUA
This 29-nucleotide transfer RNA is filed under the name Mangifera indica (mango). RNAcentral describes it as "partial tRNA-Leu". Lineage: Eukaryota; Viridiplantae; Streptophyta; Magnoliopsida; Sapindales; Anacardiaceae. The record is from RNAcentral.